RNAcentral lists this unclassified non-coding RNA (399 nucleotides) under uncultured Planctomycetia bacterium. RNAcentral's name for it is "contains 16S-23S intergenic spacer region". Lineage: Bacteria; Pseudomonadati; Planctomycetota; Planctomycetia. The record is from RNAcentral.
UCCGGUUUAACACCGGCAGUCCCCCUAGAGUCCCCGGCAUGACCCGCUGGCAACUAGGGGCAAGGGUUUCGCUCGUUACGGGACUUAACCCAACAUCUCACGACACGAGCUGACGACAGCCAUGCAGCACCUGUGGUGGGUUCCGGACUGGAUACCGUUGGCCGAACGUUUCCGCCGGCUACUUCCCACCGCUUUCGCACAUGUCAAGCCCAGGAUAAGGUUCUUCGCGUAGCCUCGAAUUAAGCCACAUGCUCCACCGCUUGUGUGAGCCCCCGUCAAUUCCUUUGAGUUUCAGCCUUGCGGCCAUACUCCCCAGGCGGGGUACUUAACACGUUGGCUGCGGCAGUGAGCCCAUGUCAAGCCCACUACCUAGUACCCAUCGUUUAGGGCCAGGACUAC